GCUGGCAGCUAGCUCUCUGCAACUCUCACAUGGUCGCCCACUGAGGCUAAGCAGGGCUGUGCCUGGUCAGUACCUGGAUGGGAGACCACAUGGGAAAGCAAGGUUAAUGCUGGAA
This 115-nucleotide ribosomal RNA is filed under the name Danio rerio (zebrafish). The record is from RNAcentral. Lineage: Eukaryota; Metazoa; Chordata; Actinopteri; Cypriniformes; Danionidae.